UUCGCCCUUGUGAAAUUGGUGAAAGGGAAGCGCUUGCAGCCAGACUUGCCUGUAGUUGCUCAUCCGGGCUUUUGCCCGGUGCACUCUUCUGCGGGCAGGCCAGCAUCAGUUUGGGCGGUUGGAUAAAGGUCUCUGUCACGUACCUCUCUUCGGGGAGGCCUUAUAGGGGAGACGCCAUACAACCAGCCUGAACUGAGGUCCGCGCAUUUGCUAGGAUGCUGGCGUAAUGGCUGUAAGCGGCCCGUCUUGAAACACGGACCAAGGAGUCUAACAUCUAUGCGAGUGUUUGGGUGUCAAGCCCGAACGCGUAAUGAAAGUGAACGGAGGUGGGACCCCUUUAGGGUGCACCAUCGACCGAUCCUGAUGUCUUCGGAUGGAUUUGAGUAAGAGCAUGGCUGUUGGGACCCGAAAGAUGGUGAACUAUGCUUGAAUAGGGUGAAGCCAGAGGAAACUCUGGUGGAGGCUCGCAGCGGUUCUGACGUGCAAAUCGAUCGUCAAAUUUGGGCAUAGGGGCGAAAGACUAAUCGAACUAUCUAGUAGCUGGUUCCUACCGAAGUUUCCCUCAGGAUAGCAGUAACGUAUUCAGUUUUAUGAGGUAAAGCGAAUGAUUAGAGGCCUGGGGGUUGAAACAACCUUCACCUAUUCUCAAACUUUAAAUAUGUAAGAAGUCCUUGUUACUUAAUUGAACGUGGACACUUGAAUGUACCGUUACUAGUGGGCCAUUUUUGGUAAGCAGAACUGGCGAUGCGGGAUGAACCGAACGCGGGGUUAAGGUGCCAGAAUGCACGCUCAUCAGACACCACAAAAGGUGUUGGUUCAUCUAG
Molecule: ribosomal RNA, 824 nt
Filed under: uncultured Ascomycota
Lineage: Eukaryota; Fungi; Ascomycota
Description: LSU rRNA
Rfam family: Eukaryotic large subunit ribosomal RNA
Source: RNAcentral